This 322-nucleotide long non-coding RNA is filed under the name Lathyrus oleraceus (garden pea). RNAcentral's name for it is "Pisum sativum (pea) long non-coding RNA (PSAT_LNC027960)". Lineage: Eukaryota; Viridiplantae; Streptophyta; Magnoliopsida; Fabales; Fabaceae. The record is from RNAcentral.
GGUAAGGGUGAGAUAAAUCCUAAGGGGUACUAGGCUAAAAUUCAAAGAGACAAAAGAGACUUGAAAGAAACUGCGGGAGUUGAGUUUACAAAAUAUUUCAUUCACUUCAACAACUCUAUAUUAACCGUUUUCGUUCAUAUUUUUUUCUCCUUUCUCUUUUUUCUUUUUCUUUUUUUCUUUUUCAUACGGAAUACGUAUUAACAUGUAUACAUCCUUCUAUUUUUUUUAUUCAUUUUUUUUCGUUUCUAUUUUUCUUUUCUUUUUCUACCAACUUCUGAAAUAUUGCAAACAUAAUUAUUCACCCCACACAACUCCAAACAAG